GGAGAGAGAUCAGUUUCAAUAUUAAGAAAUGAAUGUCACACCACUCACCAAUAUAUUUCGUGAUCCACAAACAAAUGUAAUAACAUUCGCAAAUAUAAUUCAUACAUUUCAUGAUCCACAAACAAAUGUAACAACAUUCACAAAUAUAAUUCAUGAUGCACAAAUGAAUGUAACCCCAUUCACAAAUGCCAGCGCAGUUCUAUUCAUUUGCAAACCGGUCUACAUAUAUUCGCAAACCCUAUACAUAUUUAUGACUUCCAUUGUAUUUGUGUGUGGAUUUUUGAGACUGUCCUGACGGUAUUUGACACACAAAUGUGCUCAGCCAAUCACAUCAGCCGGCGUUCGAGCGUAAGGUUGAAGACAUUGCGCUUCUAUUACGCAGAGAAGGUUACUAGUGCGAAGCCACCAUAGAUCUGUAUAGAACUACACCGAUCCGAGGAAAUAACCGGAAGUAGAGUCAUUACUGAAGUGCUCCAUGACGUAAACUCGGAAGCGUAUGAAGUUACUGACUUUCACAUCAUCUUUGUACAAAUAUGUCUGGAUCUGGACUAACGUGUGCUGUAAUCGGAUGUCACAAUAACAGCAGAAAGCUAAAAAUGUGGAAAAAGAGCGUAUGUGCGCUUCAUAGUCCACAGUUUAAAGAGGAUUGUCCUUGUUGUGUGCCCUACGGUGUACACCGCUUCCCCGGCCGUGCUGAGGAUGAAGACAUUCGCAAGAUGUGGAUUAAAAACGUACACCGAAAGGACUUUGCCCCCAAACAAGUAUUCAACGGUGUGUGGAGUACACUUCCCUGACGGCAGACCAACGCAGGAACACCCAUAUCCCAUAAUAUGGGAUAUGAAUAUAGUAAAGCACCAUCAUGUGGAAGACCACCCCCUAAGAGGAGAUGUCUCCAGCCCCCAACAGAGAGACUUGGAUUAAUGUUGAGAGGAUUAUUGUUCAAUACGGUGUAGAAACACUUGGUUCAGUUAUAUGUAGAUAUCUAUCAUCUUUCAAGAAAUCCUUCAUCCCCUCAGCUGUGACCAUACUGAACAAGAGAUGAACUGUCCAGCUGCAGCAUGCAUGUAUUGUGUGGUCUUGUCUUUUUUUUUUUGGUCAAGCCUUGUCUAAUGUCUGUGAGAAUCACUGAAGCCACGCCAAAGACAAUUUUCUGUUUCAUGGGUGUAACACAGUGUUUCGCAACCUUUUUUUAGGCGAGGCACCCUUUCAGUUCAUGAAAAAUUUCAAGGCACCCCAAACCAACAAGCCAUAACAUGGCAUUGCAUCCCAUACCACACAAGCUUAGAAAAGUAGCACAUUUGGAGAGGUCACACGACCUACGUUCGAAGUUGCAGCUGACUAGGGCGACCUAUAUUUACUUUAUUGUGUGUAAAUGGCAAAUGAAAGAUUCCACUGACUAGCAUUAACUUAUGCAAUAUAAUACAUAUUUGUCUAAAUUGAUUAUUUAUUUAUCAGCCACGUUUCCGUGGCACCCUUGGGGGUGGCCCGCGGCACCCCAGGGUGCCCCGGCACCCCUGUUGAGAAACACUGGUGUAACAGACAAUAAAGUUGUAUCUAAUCUAAUCAUA
This is a long non-coding RNA of Engraulis encrasicolus (European anchovy), 1568 nucleotides long. RefSeq lists it as uncharacterized. The record is from RefSeq and is a predicted model, not a curated record. The transcript is spliced from 3 exons. Lineage: Eukaryota; Metazoa; Chordata; Actinopteri; Clupeiformes; Engraulidae.